Molecule: ribosomal RNA, 465 nt
Filed under: uncultured bacterium
Lineage: Bacteria
Description: partial 16S ribosomal RNA
Rfam family: Bacterial small subunit ribosomal RNA
Source: RNAcentral
GACGAACGCUGGCGGCGUGCUUAACACAUGCAAGUCGAACGGAAAGGCCCUGCUUGCAGGGUACUCGAGUGGCGAACGGGUGAGUAACACGUGGGUGAUCUGCCCUGCACUUCGGGAUAAGCCUGGGAAACUGGGUCUAAUACCGGAUAGGAGCCAUUUUUAGUGUGAUGGUUGGAAAGUUUUUUCGGUGUAGGAUGAGCUCGCGGCCUAUCAGCUUGUUGGUGGGGUAAUGGCCUACCAAGGCGGCGACGGGUAGCCGGCCUGAGAGGGUGGACGGCCACAUUGGGACUGAGAUACGGCCCAGACUCCUACGGGGGGCAGCGGUGGGGAAUAUUGCACAAUGGGCGCAAGCCUGAUGCAGCGACGCCGCGUGGGGGAUGACGGCCUUCGGGUUGUAAACUCCUUUCGCUAGGGACGAAGCUUUUUGUGACGGUACCUAGAUAAGAAGCACCGGCUAACUACGUG